Molecule: ribosomal RNA, 253 nt
Filed under: uncultured bacterium
Lineage: Bacteria
Description: partial 16S ribosomal RNA
Rfam family: Bacterial small subunit ribosomal RNA
Source: RNAcentral
UACGAAGGUGGCAAGCGUUACUCGGAAUUACUAGGCGUAAAGGGCAGGUAGGUGGUUCGGUAAGUCUGUUGUGUAAGCUCCUGGCUUAACUGGGAGAGGUCAACGGAAACUACCGGACUUGAGUAUAGGAGAGGUUACUGGAAUUCCCGGUGUAGCGGUGAAAUUCGUAGAUAUUCGGAAGAACACCAGUGGCGAAGGCGGCUCACUGGACUGGUAUUGACGCUGAGGUGCGAAAGCGUGGGGAGCAAACAGG